Molecule: ribosomal RNA, 253 nt
Filed under: uncultured bacterium
Lineage: Bacteria
Description: partial 16S ribosomal RNA
Rfam family: Bacterial small subunit ribosomal RNA
Source: RNAcentral
UACAGAGGGUGCAAGCGUUAAUCGGAAUUACUGGGCGUAAAGCGUGCGUAGUCGGUUAUCUAAGUCAGGUGUGAAAUCCCCGGGCUCAACCUGGGAAUUGCAUUUGAUACAGCAAGUCUUGAGUUCGAGAGAGGUGGGUGGAAUUCCUAGUGUAGAGGUGAAAUUCGUAGAUAUUAGGAAGAACACCGGUGGCGAAGGCGGCCCACUGGCUCGACACUGACGCUGAGGUGCGAAAGCGUGGGGAGCAAACAGG